This 419-nucleotide ribosomal RNA is filed under the name bacterium. RNAcentral describes it as "partial 16S ribosomal RNA". It matches the Rfam family "Bacterial small subunit ribosomal RNA", at positions 355 to 776 of the family's 1533-position model. The record is from RNAcentral.
UGGGGGAUAUUGCACAAUGGGCGAAAGCCUGAUGCAGCGACGCCGCGUGGGGGAUGAAGGCCUUCGGGUUGUAAACUUCUUUUGCUCUGAACAAGGCGCACCAUGGGGUGUGUUGAGUGUAGGGGUUGAUUAGCGCCGGCUAUCUACGUGCCAGCAGCCGCGGUAAUACGUAGGGCGCGAGCGUUGUCCGGAAUUAUUGGGCGUAAAGGGCUUGUAGGUGGCUGGUUGCGUCUGUCGUGAAAGCUCAUGGCUUAACUGUGGGUUUGCGGUGGGUACGGGCUGGCUUGAGUGCAGUAGGGGAGGCUGGAAUUCCUGGUGUAGCGGUGGAAUGCGCAGAUAUCAGGAGGAAUACCGGUGGCGAAGGCGGGUCUCUGGGCUGUUACUGACACUGAGGAGCGAAAGCAUGGGGAGCGAACAGG